This 573-nucleotide ribosomal RNA is filed under the name Lithohypha guttulata. RNAcentral's name for it is "eukaryotic LSU rRNA". The stretch from base 231 to 385 matches the Rfam family "5.8S ribosomal RNA". The record is from RNAcentral. Lineage: Eukaryota; Fungi; Ascomycota; Eurotiomycetes; Chaetothyriales; Trichomeriaceae.
GACCUGCGGAAGGAUCAUUAACGAGUUAGGGUUGGCCCCUCGCGGCCGCCCGAACCUCCCAACCCUUGUGUCUACCCAACCCAAUGUAUGUUGCUUCGGCGGGCCGGUUUCCCCGUCACACGGGAGACCGCCGGGCCCCUUGCGCCUGGAGCGCGCCCGCCGACGGCCCACACCAAAACUCUUGAACCAAAACAGUGUCGUCUGAAUUCAAAAAAGUUAAUUAAAAACAAAACUUUCAACAACGGAUCUCUUGGUUCGGGCAUCGAUGAAGAACGCAGCGAAAUGCGAUAAGUAAUGCGAAUUGCAGAAUUUCCGUGAGUCAUCGAAUCUUUGAACGCACAUUGCGCCCAUUGGUAUUCCGAUGGGCAUGCCUGUUCGAGCGUCAUUAUCCUCCCUCAAACCCCCGGUUUGGUGUUGGACCGCGUCGACCUGCGAGGGUCGACUGGUCUCAAAGACAAUGACGGCGUCCGUGGGACCCUCUUCGCAACGAGCUUUCGGGCACGCGAACACAAAGGACCCGCGGGCCGGCCACCCUUCUUAUCAUUUACAAGGUUGACCUCGGAUCAGGUAGGA